This 59-nucleotide transfer RNA is filed under the name Lepidolaena taylorii. Its description in RNAcentral is "partial tRNA-Leu". The record is from RNAcentral. RNAcentral also lists the same sequence under 1 other name. Lineage: Eukaryota; Viridiplantae; Streptophyta; Jungermanniopsida; Porellales; Lepidolaenaceae.
UACGGACUAAAAUCCGUUGGCUUUUAUAGACCAUGAGGGUUCAAGUCCCUCUACCCCCA